GCAGUCGAGCGAACGGACGAGAGUGCUUGCACUCUCUGAUGUUAGCGGCGGACGGGUGAGUAACACGUGGGUAACCUACCUAUAAGACUGGGAUAACUUCGGGAAACCGGAGCUAAUACCGGAUAAUAUUUAGCUUCGCAUGAAGCAAUAGUGAAAGACGGUUCUGCUGUCACUUAUAGAUGGACCCGCGGUGUAUUAGCUAGUUGGUGAGGUAACGGCUCACCAAGGCAACGAUACAUAGCCGACCUGAGAGGGUGAUCGGCCACACUGGGACUGAGACACGGCCCAGACUCCUACGGGAGGCAGCAGUAGGGAAUCUUCCGCAAUGGACGAAAGUCUGACGGAGCAACGCCGCGUGAGUGAAGAAGGUUUUCGGAUCGUAAAACUCUGUUGUAAGGGAAGAACAAGUACGUUAGUAACUGAACGUACCUUGACGGUACCUUACCAGAAAGCCACGGCUAACUACGUGCCAGCAGCCGCGGUAAUACGUAGGUGGCAAGCGUUAUCCGGAAUUAUUGGGCGUAAAGCGCGCGUAGGCGGUCUCUUAAGUCUGAUGUGAAAGCCCCCGGCUCAACCGGGGAGGGUCAUUGGAAACUGGGAGACUUGAGUGCAGAAGAGGAGAGUGGAAUUCCAUGUGUAGCGGUGAAAUGCGCAGAGAUAUGGAGGAACACCAGUGGCGAAGGCGGCUCUCUGGUCUGUAACUGACGCUGAGGUGCGAAAGCGUGGGGAUCAAACAGGAUUAGAUACCCUGGUAGUCCACGCCGUAAACGAUGAGUGCUAAGUGUUGGGGGGUUUCCGCC
Molecule: ribosomal RNA, 800 nt
Filed under: Macrococcoides caseolyticum
Lineage: Bacteria; Bacillati; Bacillota; Bacilli; Caryophanales; Staphylococcaceae
Description: bacterial SSU rRNA
Rfam family: Bacterial small subunit ribosomal RNA
Source: RNAcentral